CGCUAGCUACAGGCUUAACACAUGCAAGUCGAGGGGCAGCAUUUUAGUUUGCUUGCAAACUGAAGAUGGCGACCGGCGCACGGGUGAGUAACACGUAUCCAACCUGCCGAUAACUCCGGAAUAGCCUUUCGAAAGAAAGAUUAAUACCGGAUAGCAUACGAAUAUCGCAUGAUAUUUUUAUUAAAGAAUUUCGGUUAUCGAUGGGGAUGCGUUCCAUUAGUUUGUUGGCGGGGUAACGGCCCACCAAGACAACGAUGGAUAGGGGUUCUGAGAGGAAGGUCCCCCACAUUGGAACUGAGACACGGUCCAAACUCCUACGGGAGGCAGCAGUGAGGAAUAUUGGUCAAUGGGCGAGAGCCUGAACCAGCCAAGUAGCGUGAAGGAUGAAGGCUCUAUGGGUCGUAAACUUCUUUUAUAUGGGAAUAAAGUUUUCCACGUGUGGAAUUUUGUAUGUACCAUAUGAAUAAGGAUCGGCUAACUCCGUGCCAGCAGCCGCGGUAAUACGGAGGAUCCGAGCGUUAUCCGGAUUUAUUGGGUUUAAAGGGAGCGUAGGUGGAUUGUUAAGUCAGUUGUGAAAGUUUGCGGCUCAACCGUAAAAUUGCAGUUGAAACUGGCAGUCUUGAGUACAGUAGAGGUGGGCGGAAUUCGUGGUGUAGCGGUGAAAUGCUUAGAUAUCACGAAGAACUCCGAUUGCGAAGGCAGCUCACUAGACUGUCACUGACACUGAUGCUCGAAAGUGUGGGUAUCAAACAGGAUUAGAUACCCUGGUAGUCCACACAGUAAACGAUGAAUACUCGCUGUUUGCGAUAUACAGUAAGCGGCCAAGCGAAAGCAUUAAGUAUUCCACCUGGGGAGUACGCCGGCAACGGUGAAACUCAAAGGAAUUGACGGGGGCCCGCACAAGCGGAGGAACAUGUGGUUUAAUUCGAUGAUACGCGAGGAACCUUACCCGGGCUUAAAUUGCAACAGAAUAUAUUGGAAACAGUAUAGCCGUAAGGCUGUUGUGAAGGUGCUGCAUGGUCGUCGUCAGCUCGUGCCGUGAGGUGUCGGCUUAAGUGCCAUAACGAGCGCAACCCUUAUCUUUAGUUACUAACAGGUGAUGCUGAGGACUCUAGAGAGACUGCCGUCGUAAGAUGUGAGGAAGGUGGGGAUGACGUCAAAUCAGCACGGCCCUUACGUCCGGGGCUACACACGUGUUACAAUGGGGGGUACAGAAGGCGGCUACCUGGUGACGGGAUGCUAAUCCCAAAAACCUCUCUCAGCUCGGAUCGAAGUCUGCAACCCGACUUCGUGAAGCUGGAUUCGCUAGUAAUCGCGCAUCAGCCAUGGCGCGGUGAAUACGUUCCCGGGCCUUGUACACACCGCCCGUCAAGCCAUGAAAGCCGGGGGUACCUGAAGUACGUAACCGCAAGGAGCGUCCUAGGGUAAAACUGGUAAUUGGGGCU
This 1445-nucleotide ribosomal RNA is filed under the name uncultured organism. Its description in RNAcentral is "SSU rRNA". It matches the Rfam family "Bacterial small subunit ribosomal RNA". The record is from RNAcentral.